UCUCCAAAGAGGCAAAAUAUUGCUGAUGCAUCUGCUAAUCAUUUCUCCUUUCCUUUCCCUACAAGCCUUCUCCCCCUAGUGACAGCCCUCUCUUCUGACUGAUGAGAUCCUGGCCUUGACCACCAGGCCAUUCCCAAUCCCAUUCCUUGUUCUCCACAAUUUUCUCCCUUCCAGCCCCUUGGUAUGGAUUGUCUCUCCUCUUCCCCAACUCCAUUAGGAUGGAAGCUCGUUGAAGUAUCUACGUGUUCCAUGAAAAUCGUGGUUAGGUUUUAUUCCCUCAAGACUGAGUCUGAAGUAUGGAAGAAGUGAAGAGCUGACAUUUUCUGCCUACCCUUCAGGACUCCACAAGCUACCUCUGGAAUGACCUGAACCCUUCUGAACCGUGUUCCUGUUUCUUGACAGAAUCUCUGAAUUCCUUCCUAAUUUCCCCCACACUCUAGCCAUGUCUUGUCCUGCUUUACAACUGGCCUUCUUCUUUCCUGGGGCUAAUCAAUCCAUUUUUGAACACUGUCACUAAACCUCUGACUCAGUAUAAAAUUAACAUCCCCAAAUUUCACAUUCCAGAUAAUAGUGCAGCGGGGUAGAUGUGCACAGCAAAUGAGUAUAAUAACAUUACAUUCCCUCCCUGGCAAGAGAGGUUGUGGGGAGGGGGAAGUGUUACAUGCUGAGGGUGUGCGAGGCCAUCAGAUACUGGGAAGGCUCCAACGGCAGCCAAGGGCUGGGGGAGAUGACAGUGAUGGCUAAUCUUGGACCAGCACUGGGAGGAGGGAGAGAGAUGUUAAAUUUGUCAACCAGAUUUCUUCUGAGACUCAAGUGCUGCUCAACUGAAAAGAAUUUAACAAGGCUCCAGGUAGGAGCAAAGGGCUAGGGAGAAGGCAAAAGAGAUUAAGAACAAGCAGGCUCCCUACCCACAGCUCCACACUCCCUCUCCUCUGUUAAAUGUGUCUGAUGACACUUGUACUACCACCGCCCAAAGCUGUUUCAAGAGUCAUGUUGCAGGAGAUAUCAUAGAAAGCCUGCUCCAGAAUCACAAAG
Molecule: long non-coding RNA, 1035 nt
Organism: Phascolarctos cinereus (koala)
Lineage: Eukaryota; Metazoa; Chordata; Mammalia; Diprotodontia; Phascolarctidae
Source: RefSeq, a predicted model, not a curated record